RNAcentral lists this long non-coding RNA (376 nucleotides) under Brassica napus (rape). RNAcentral's name for it is "long non-coding RNA (BNAP_LNC013812)". The record is from RNAcentral. Lineage: Eukaryota; Viridiplantae; Streptophyta; Magnoliopsida; Brassicales; Brassicaceae.
UUGAGCAAGUCGGUAAAAAAUUUCAUGCCAUGUUUUAAUUUUGAGUUCAUACAUUUUUUAUUUUACUCAGGAUUUACACAAACAACGUCCAUAAGAUCAAGAACUUACAUGUACACAGUACACUAUAGGUUUUUCUUUUUAGCUAUUGUGAUGGAGAAUUUAAGGUGGUCAGCAACGGGAAAGUUUACUUUUGGUACUGCACAAAAUUAUAAACAAAUACCGAAAACCAAGUUGAAAAAUAACAAUACAUAGAACAUAGAACUUCUAUGAUAGAAUAAAUACUUCCAACUUACAAAACCUAGAUCUAACGCAAGAAAAAAACACAACAAAAAAAUACACACAUCAAAACAAAAGCAAACAACUAAGAACAACUCAA